RNAcentral lists this non-coding RNA (224 nucleotides) under Pannonibacter phragmitetus. The record is from RNAcentral. Lineage: Bacteria; Pseudomonadati; Pseudomonadota; Alphaproteobacteria; Hyphomicrobiales; Stappiaceae.
GUUACAAGGAGAGGAUCAGGUUCCCCGGCGGGCCAAGCCCAAGGGGAUGAAACGGGAAUGCGGUGCGGAGCGACUCAAUCCGGGGCUCCAAAGCCGCAGCUGCCCCCGCAACUGUCAGCGGAGAAUCUUGCCGCCUCAUGCCACUGCAAGGCCAGCCCUUGCGGGAAGGCGCGGCAAGGUGAAGACCCGCGAGCCAGGAGACCGGCCUGAUGUGGUGCAACCCC